GAAAUUAUGGGCAGUAUCUGGGAAACUCACUGUAUGGACUGGGAAUUUCACAUUAGAUGUAUCCCAUUCCUCUCCUUUUGAAGUACAUCUACAUAAUAAUCUGACUUAUUUUGCUUCUGCAUGUGUUAAAUUCCCUUAUUCUCUUAUCAUUGAAAACUGGGAAUGGAAUGUAACUUGGGGAACAAUAUCAUGUAUAGACUGUUAUCUUACUCAAUGUGUAUAUAGAACUAAUUGAGAAUUAAUAGAAAUUAAUAAUUAUUCUUUAGUUAUUGUUAAAGCUCACACAGAAUUGUGGGUGCCUGUUAAUUUGACUCAUCCUUGCUCUGAUUCAUUGUCUGUUACUCAUUUGUACAAUGCUGUUCAAGUUUUGUUACAUCGCUCUCUACGAUUAAUAGAAAUAGUUAUAGCUUCAUUCCUUGCAGUUGCUUCUAUAACUGCCACUGCUACAGUAGCUGGGGUUGCUUCACAUCAAGACAUUCAAACUGCGAAUUUCGUGAGAACAUGGCAUCAAGAUGCUCAUUUAUUAUGGCAACAACAAAAGGACUUAAACUCUCAAUUGGCUACAGAUGUGAUCAAUUUACAACAUACUGUUUCCUGGCUUGGCGAUCAAGUGACUAUCUUGGCUACCAGAAGUGUUCUGAAGUGUGACUGGAAUUCUUCUCAUAUUUGUGUGACUCCUGUGCCAUAUAAUACCAGUGAUUCCUGGGAAACUGUUAAAAGACGGUUAAAUGGACAUCAAAUUUAACUUUAGAAAUUAUGAAUUUGGAAAAAACUAUUAUGGACACCUUUAGUAAGACAUUACCUGAACUAACAGGAUCUGACAUUUUACAAAAAUUGUCUUCAAGUAUUGCUAAUUUAAAUCCCUUAAGUCAUUUCUCUACCUUGUUGUCAACUUCUUUAGGUAACACUGGAAUAAUUUUUGUUUUGUGUUUUGUUUUGUAUAUAGUCUUCCAACGCUGGAAAAAGCGAAGGCAACUGAAACAUGAAACCUCUCUUUUCGCUUCUGCUAUGGCUCUUUUACAAAAACAAAAGGAGGGAAAUGUAGAGAAUCAGAUGUGACUGUGUUACUAUUACUGUCCUUGAUGGAGUCUGCCUGCAAACGGGAUAUUCUGUCAAGGUAUAGAUAGGUAACAGCGGACAUGCUUGAAAACGAGGUGUCUGCUGUCCUUGGGAGGGCCUACUUGCAAACGAGAGGCUCCUUCAAGGUUUAGAUAAGGUAACUGCGGACAUGCUUGAAAACAAGGUGUCUGCUGUCCUUGGGAGGACUUGCCUGCAAACGGGAUGUUCUGCCAAGUGGGCUAGGAGGGCGCUGAGAAAAAUUUUAUUAUCUGUUCUUAACAAAGAGCAGAGCUCAACAUACUCCGGGCCGAGAAUAGAUUAGCCAUGAGAAGCGGGUCACUUCUGAUUAGAAAGUAAAACUUCUGUAUGCUAUGUUUAAUUAGCUGAAAGACCUGAUUUAUUGAUGUUGGAAGGCUGCCUUCUUUGUUCACAAUACUAUAAAAAGAUUGCUUGUACACAAUAAAGGACUUUUUUUCUGCUGCUGCUUUGCUUGCUCUGCUUCUUCUUUCUUUUCCCAUGCUGACCUGCAAGUGAAUUACUGCAACA
This 1605-nucleotide long non-coding RNA is filed under the name Marmota monax (woodchuck). The record is from RNAcentral. Lineage: Eukaryota; Metazoa; Chordata; Mammalia; Rodentia; Sciuridae.